RNAcentral lists this ribosomal RNA (468 nucleotides) under uncultured bacterium. RNAcentral's name for it is "partial 16S ribosomal RNA". It matches the Rfam family "Bacterial small subunit ribosomal RNA", at positions 28 to 507 of the family's 1533-position model. The record is from RNAcentral.
GACGAACGCUGGCGGCGUGCUUAACACAUGCAAGUCGAACGGAAAGGCCCUGCUUUUGUGGGGUGCUCGAGUGGCGAACGGGUGAGUAACACGUGAGUAACCUGCCCUUGACUUUGGGAUAACUUCAGGAAACUGGGGCUAAUACCGGAUAGGAGCUCCUGCUGCAUGGUGGGGGUUGGAAAGUUUCGGCGGUUGGGGAUGGACUCGCGGCUUAUCAGCUUGUUGGUGGGGUAGUGGCUUACCAAGGCUUUGACGGGUAGCCGGCCUGAGAGGGUGACCGGCCACAUUGGGACUGAGAUGCGGCCCAGACUCGUACGGGAGGCAGCAGUGGGGAAUAUUGCACAAUGGGCGGAAGCCUGAUGCAGCAACGCCGCGUGCGGGAUGACGGCCUUCGAGUUGUAAACCGCUUUCGCCUGUGACGAAGCGUGAGUGACGGUAAUGGGUAAAGAAGCACCGGCUAACUACGUG